UCGUCCUCCUCCUCCUCCUCCUCUAAUAGGACUUCCAAUUUUUUUUACUUUCUACACACAAACACUUGUCAACAUAGAUAGAAAUAUUCCUUCCAAACAUAUUUAACCUCUUUAUCACUUUUUUCCAUUCUUUAACAAACACACCAAAGAAUAAAAGAGAAAUUCAAUUUCGUUCCUUUUCUUUUCUUUUACCUCUCCCAGUUUUUUUUCUUACCUCUUAAACCAAUGAAGUAAGCUUUCUAUUUCCCAACACAUUAGUACUACUUCCACAAGGUUCA
RNAcentral lists this unclassified non-coding RNA (278 nucleotides) under Hevea brasiliensis (rubber tree). Lineage: Eukaryota; Viridiplantae; Streptophyta; Magnoliopsida; Malpighiales; Euphorbiaceae. The record is from RNAcentral.